RNAcentral lists this ribosomal RNA (253 nucleotides) under uncultured bacterium. Its description in RNAcentral is "partial 16S ribosomal RNA". It matches the Rfam family "Bacterial small subunit ribosomal RNA", at positions 524 to 776 of the family's 1533-position model. The record is from RNAcentral.
UACGUAGGGGGCGAGCGUUGUCCGGAAUUAUUGGGCGUAAAGAGCGCGCAGGCGGCUUGGCAAGUCGGGUGUGAAAUCCCGGGGCUCAACCCCGGGACUGCAUUCGAUACUGUCAGGCUAGAGGUAGGUAGGGGAGAUCGGAAUUCCUGGUGUAGCGGUGAAAUGCGCAGAUAUCAGGAGGAACACCGGUGGCGAAGGCGGAUCUCUGGGCCUUACCUGACGCUCAGGCGCGAAAGCUAGGGGAGCGAACAGG